Molecule: ribosomal RNA, 162 nt
Filed under: Ipomoea batatas (sweet potato)
Lineage: Eukaryota; Viridiplantae; Streptophyta; Magnoliopsida; Solanales; Convolvulaceae
Also listed under: 13 other names
Description: 5.8S ribosomal RNA
Rfam family: 5.8S ribosomal RNA
About the family: 5.8S ribosomal RNA (5.8S rRNA) is a component of the large subunit of the eukaryotic ribosome. It is transcribed by RNA polymerase I as part of the 45S precursor that also contains 18S and 28S rRNA.
Source: RNAcentral
UACGACUCUCGGCAACGGAUAUCUCGGCUCUCGCAUCGAUGAAGAACGUAGCGAAAUGCGAUACUUGGUGUGAAUUGCAGAAUCCCGUGAACCAUCGAGUCUUUGAACGCAAGUUGCGCCCGAAGCCGUCAGGCCGAGGGCACGUCUGCCUGGGCGUCACGC